Molecule: non-coding RNA, 509 nt
Organism: Labrus bergylta (ballan wrasse)
Lineage: Eukaryota; Metazoa; Chordata; Actinopteri; Labriformes; Labridae
Source: RefSeq, a predicted model, not a curated record
GGCAGUUCAGUGACUCUGACCUGUAGCAGUGAUGCUAACCCAGCAGCUACUUUUAAAUGGUACAAGAGAAAUCAGAUAUCUCAAUACCUUCAUGAAGGAGCACAGCUGGUCUUCAACUACAUUCAACCCUCGGCCUCUGGAGAGUAUUACUGUGAAUCUGAGAACAAGCUGGGGAGGAAGAGGUCUGGAUACGUCUCUAUCAAUGUGAAAUAUGCUCCAUCAGUUUGUUCAGCGUCUGUGAGUCCUGCUGGUGAAAUCAGAGAGAACAGUAGAGUGACUGUGACCUGUAGCUGUGAUGCUAACCCAGCACCUGAAUACACCUGGUACAAGGUGAACGGUCGUGAACUCAGUAAAGAAUCAGAGCUCGUCUUCAGCUCAGUUCAGUCCUCUGACUCUGGAAGGUAUUACUGUAAAGCUAAGAAUGAUCUGGGAGAGAGGACAUCUGGAUACGUCAAAGUUGAAGUGAAAUAUGCUCCAAAGCUUCCCUCUGUGUCAGUGAGUCCCUCUGC